CUGGAAUAUAAAAAGAGCAGAGUAUCACACUCUGCUGUAAUGAACUUGCUCCUCCAAAGUGUGUUCGUGAAAAUGAAAGGCAUCCUCUCUGUUACCUCAUUUUGUUUCAGUUAGCUUUUUAAACACAUAAUACAUUUUUUAGUUAUUUAUCAUGGUUUAACUUUGUUUUCAGUUAACGGAAAUGUUUUGGCUGUUUGAGUUUUCAUGAUUGUGUUCAUUUUGGUUAAUGAUAAUAACCUUGGACUGGACGCUGAUGUGAGAGCCUCCUGAGGAGCGGCUGGGCCCCAAACCAUCUGUGAGGGGAGAAGUGCAUGAAGACCCUGUCCUGUGACCCAAGCAAAAGCAACAGAGCUAGUAAGAGAAUUUUUCAAAGGUACGACAUUUUAAGGUCAACAUAAAUACCCCUGGAAUAGCUGUUGCAUAUAGAUAAUAAACAUUUAUGCAAUUAAUAUCAUCUUGAAACGUGUUCUUCCUGCUCACCCUGUUAGGAUUUAAAUUUGAAUCCAUGGAAGUAGUAUGUUCACCUGAAUACUACACUCAUACCUGCAGAAUAAACAAAUUCGUAAAUAAACCAGAAUCAGUAACAUGCUGUGCUUUUGUUACCACAUCGAAGUGAACUCGCACUUAGAGCAGUGAUUCAUAGAGAAAUAUUGUGAACAUGUCCCCUCUCUGUGUGUGAUCUCUGCCUAGACAAAGAAAGAAAGGAGUUGUUUUAGUGUUUGCUGCUCAAAUGUGUUGUGAUAUCAGCAGCAAGCUGACAUUUUUAAUGUCAGCCUCCACAGCUGAGCAAUAGCAAGGAGUCUUGAAAAGGCAGACCUCUUGAACUUUCUACCUUGUACUCUGCAGAAAUCAUUUGAAAAAUACAAAAGGCUUUUGCACUAAAAAGCAGCUUGGAUCCCCCUCUUUUUUUGUAAAACUUGUAAAUGCAACCUCAACACAAUGCAGUUUGUUGUGUGCUCAUUUCUGUGCGUAUUUUGUACUUUAUUUUUCAGGCAUUAGAAUCCCCACUGGAAGGAGAGACUUCAUACUUCUGCACAGUUUAAAAAAAUGAGGUGAUUUCACAUUUAGUUUGAUCUUGAUUUCAGCGAGAACAGUUGCAAUUUCAUCAUUAGUUUGCUCAAAGGUGCAUGAUGUAUUUUGUAAUGUUAGGCAGGUACAUCAUUACCUUAUCAUUCCCUGCUAAGGAGUUAUAAUGCAACUUUCAACUUUAUAUUUCUGCAGAGAGUUCUUUGAUAAUGGGGGAACUAGGGAAGCGCUUUAAAGUUUGGGAGUUUAAUUCUUUGCACUUUACUUAAUGAGUCUUUAAAACCUGGUUAAAGUUUUACUUUUAUACCAAAGAGACAAUCUGUUGUACAUUUUCUACAUAUCUAUAUAUUAUUUAUAUUUUAAGAAAAAUGUAUUAUUGUCACUACAAUGUUACAUCCAUCCUGAUAAUAAUUAGUGUUUUCCAAAAUGCCAGGCGGUUGAAGAAAUAGACUGUUUAUACAGGACAACAUAUAUGAAAUAAACAGCACUUUAGCAAAGGUAAUAGAAGUAUUAGUAUGAAAGAUUUUUACUUAAGCACCUUCACAGCAGACUUCCUGUCACUGUUUUCCGUUCUUCGAAACAGAAAAUUAUGGUAUCAGAAUAUUACAACAUAUUUAAAUUCUCAUUUUAGCUCCAUUUAAUUUAAUUAAUCAGAGCAAAGGACCUGAGAAAUGACAUGCAUAAAUUACAAGAACCCAAACUGUUCUGAGGCAUUUCUUACUCCACCACAGCGAGAGAAGCAGGACCGGUCCAGCGCCUUGGAACCAUUACAGCAGCUGUGUCACAAAGCUCCCUCGGCACAUAACAAUUUGUAAUUUGUAAUUACAUGGAUUGCUUGAAAUGACCUCACUGGGAGACGAUUCAUUCUAAAAAUCCAAUUAUUAAAGCGUUGAAGCCUCUAGCUGACAGAUU
Molecule: long non-coding RNA, 1938 nt
Filed under: Xyrichtys novacula (pearly razorfish)
Lineage: Eukaryota; Metazoa; Chordata; Actinopteri; Labriformes; Labridae
Source: RNAcentral